Molecule: ribosomal RNA, 447 nt
Filed under: uncultured bacterium
Lineage: Bacteria
Description: bacterial SSU rRNA
Rfam family: Bacterial small subunit ribosomal RNA
Source: RNAcentral
ACUCCUACGGGAGGCAGCAGUGGGGAAUAUUGGACAAUGGGCGCAAGCCUGAUCCAGCCAUGCCGCGUGAGUGAUGAAGGCCCUAGGGUUGUAAAGCUCUUUCAGCGAGGAGGAUAAUGACGUUACUCGCAGAAGAACGCCCCGGCUAACUUCGUGCCAGCAGCCGCGGUAAUACGAAGGGGCUAGCGUUGUUCGGAAUCACUGGGCGUAAAGCGCACGUAGGCGGACUGAUCAGUCAGGGGUGAAAUCCCGGGGCUCAACCCCGGAACUGCCUUUGAUACUGUCAGUCUUGAGUCCGAGAGAGGUGAGUGGAACUCCGAGUGUAGAGGUGAAAUUCGUAGAUAUUCGGAAGAACACCAGUGGCGAAGGCGGCUCACUGGCUCGGUACUGACGCUGAGGUGCGAAAGCGUGGGAGCAAACAGGAUUAGAUACCCUGGUAGCGAGUAG